GUCUACGGCCAUACCACCCUGAACGCGCCUGAUCUCGUCUGAGCUCGGGAGCUAAGCAGGGUCGGGCCUGGUUAGUACUUGGAUGGGAGGAAGAUUGCUUCAUAGUUG
This 108-nucleotide ribosomal RNA is filed under the name Sorex araneus (European shrew). Lineage: Eukaryota; Metazoa; Chordata; Mammalia; Eulipotyphla; Soricidae. The record is from RNAcentral.